This 292-nucleotide ribosomal RNA is filed under the name uncultured bacterium. Its description in RNAcentral is "partial 16S ribosomal RNA". It matches the Rfam family "Bacterial small subunit ribosomal RNA", at positions 505 to 796 of the family's 1533-position model. The record is from RNAcentral.
GUGUCAGCAGCCGCGGUAAUACGGAGGGGGCUAGCGUUGUUCGGAAUUACUGGGCGUAAAGCGCACGUAGGCGGCUUUGUAAGUUAGAGGUGAAAGCCCAGGGCUUAACCCUGGAAUUGCCUUUAAGACUGCAUCGCUAGAAUCGUGGAGAGGUGAGUGGAAUUCCGAGUGUAGAGGUGAAAUUCGUAGAUAUUCGGAAGAACACCAGUGGCGAAGGCGACUCACUGGACACGUAUUGACGCUGAGGUGCGAAAGCGUGGGGAGCAAACAGGAUUAGAAACCCCAGUAGUCC